Molecule: ribosomal RNA, 383 nt
Filed under: Piezonotus sp. 1 MB-2015
Lineage: Eukaryota; Metazoa; Arthropoda; Insecta; Coleoptera; Curculionidae
Description: SSU rRNA
Rfam family: Eukaryotic small subunit ribosomal RNA
Source: RNAcentral
GUACCCACAAUUACUUGGAUAACUGUGGUAAUUCUAGAGCUAAUACAUGCAAACAGAGCUCCGACCGGAGACGGGAGGAGUGCUUUUAUUAGAUCAAAACCAAUCGGUGGCGAGUUCGCUCGUCAUCGUACAACUUGGUGACUCUGAAUAACUUUACGCUGAUCGCACGGUCUCGCACCGGCGACGCAUCUUUCAAAUGUCUGCCUUAUCAACUGUCGAUGGUAGGUUCUGCGCCUACCAUGGUUGUAACGGGUAACGGGGAAUCAGGGUUCGAUUCCGGAGAGGGAGCYUGAGAAACGGCUACCACAUCCAAGGAAGGCAGCAGGCGCGCAAAUUACCCACUCCCGGCACGGGGAGGUAGUGACGAAAAAUAACGAUACGGG